This 339-nucleotide ribosomal RNA is filed under the name Salmonella enterica subsp. enterica serovar Infantis. RNAcentral's name for it is "bacterial SSU rRNA". It matches the Rfam family "Bacterial small subunit ribosomal RNA", at positions 1 to 338 of the family's 1533-position model. The record is from RNAcentral. Lineage: Bacteria; Pseudomonadati; Pseudomonadota; Gammaproteobacteria; Enterobacterales; Enterobacteriaceae.
AAAUUGAAGAGUUUGAUCAUGGCUCAGAUUGAACGCUGGCGGCAGGCCUAACACAUGCAAGUCGAACGGUAGCACAGAGAGCUUGCUCUCGGGUGACGAGUGGCGGACGGGUGAGUAAUGUCUGGGAAACUGCCUGAUGGAGGGGGAUAACUACUGGAAACGGUGGCUAAUACCGCAUAACGUCGCAAGACCAAAGAGGGGGACCUUCGGGCCUCUUGCCAUCAGAUGUGCCCAGAUGGGAUUAGCUUGUUGGUGAGGUAACGGCUCACCAAGGCGACGAUCCCUAGCUGGUCUGAGAGGAUGACCAGCCACACUGGAACUGAGACACGGUCCAGACUC